UUGGAGGGCAAGUCUGGUGCCAGCAGCCGCGGUAAUUCCAGCUCCAAUAGCGUAUAUUAAAGUUGUUGCAGUUAAAAAGCUCGUAGUUGAAUUUCGGGAUUGACGUGAUGGUCAUGCCUUAAGGGGUAUGAACUGUUACUGUUGAUUUCUCACCUUCUGGAGAAACUUGAUGUCCUUUAUUGGGUGUCUUGCGGAUCCAGGACCUUUACCUUGAAAAAAUUAGAGUGUUUAAAGCAGGCAUUUGCUCGAAUACAUUAGCAUGGAAUAAUAGAAUAGGACGGCAUGGUUCUAUUUUGUUGGUUUCUAGGAUCACCGUAAUGAUUAAUAGGGAUAGUUGGGGGCAUUAGUAUUCAAUUGUCAGAGGUGAAAUUCUUGGAUUUAUUGAAGACUAACUACUGCGAAAGCAUUUGCCAAGGAUGUUUUCAUUAAUCAAGAACGAAAGUUAGGGGAUCGAAGACGAUCAGAUACCGUCGUAGUCUUAACCAUAAACUAUGCCGACUAGGAAUCAGACGAUGUUAAUUUUUUAAUGACUCGUUUGGCACCUUACGGAAACCAAAGUGUUUGGGUUC
This 569-nucleotide ribosomal RNA is filed under the name uncultured Glomeromycotina. RNAcentral describes it as "SSU rRNA". It matches the Rfam family "Eukaryotic small subunit ribosomal RNA", at positions 548 to 1114 of the family's 1831-position model. The record is from RNAcentral. Lineage: Eukaryota; Fungi; Glomeromycota.